This is a non-coding RNA of Cherax quadricarinatus, 1527 nucleotides long. The record is from RefSeq and is a predicted model, not a curated record. Lineage: Eukaryota; Metazoa; Arthropoda; Malacostraca; Decapoda; Parastacidae.
GCCGUGGGAGAGUACGGACGCACGAUAGCUGGCUCCCCUGCCACCUUUCCUUCACACGCAGACCCAAUAAUAUAUACCCUUCGUCUUGAACAUUACGAUGGAAGGUUUGGGUGCGCAUGACUCGUGCUCGUACUAUGUUGGAAGUCAGUGUUAAUCUGGGAAAGGACAGGAUUUUUCUUUAGGUACCAUGAUUCGAGUGCAUAAACCAUUUAAGUGCCCAAGUUUAAUGGGAAACCUGUGUCGUGGAGUCGAAGUGAUCAAACUGAACUUCAUAUCCGUCGCUGGUGAUAUAUUUUAUGGAAAUGAUGACUCCUUGGCUUACGCACUGGAAAAGAAAGUUCGGCAAGAUCAGCAGAAGCUGACCUUCAAGACGAAUUGACGAAGAUGAAAAUUCUCACCAAGACAUGCCUUCGCCAGCCACGGAAAAUGUGCUUGAGUUCAGCAGUGUAGAUUAAGUGAAGAUUGUCCCUGAAUCUCACUAGGACAAACAUAAAGAACAUAAAACAUAAAACAUAAAACUAGUUUCUUCCACAGGAGGGGAGAGGGGAGACCUUUCUCCCCAUCCUUCAUUAACUACCCAGAAAAAAUCGAUUAACGAUGCAUCGUGUGUUUUUUUAAUCUUAUAAUCGCUUUAUCGUGACUGUUAACGUGGAAUACGAGGAACCUGAAGAACGAGUGUGGCACACAAACCCUGCGGCACGAGUGUGUAAAACGUAAGCCCUAAUAAACGAGUGAAAGAAAAGUGUUAAUAAACGAGUGUGUGAAAUACGUCAUCCCAAAAAAGUUUGGGGGAUACGCAAACCCUGACAAACGAGUGUGGCAUAUGUAGACCCCCGAUAAACGAGUGUGGGGUACGUGGGCCGUGAUAAAUGAGCUGGAAAUACGUUAACCCUGAUAAACAGUGAGUGUAGGAACGGUAAGUCGUAAUAAGGUAGCAGGUGCUACGUAAGCCCUGAUACACGAGUGGAUUAACGAAGAGAGUGAAACGAAAGGCGGAUGAAGAGACUUAGAAAACUUACUGCUGCGAGCAUUAAACUUGAUCCAACUUCAGAUUACUCGAGUGCUCAGCGGAUGCAAAAUAACUGGUGAAAUUAAACAAACUGCGGUAAGCACUAAUGUGAUCCCGCAGCUGAGAAAAUAAGAAAAAAUAAACACGUACAGGAGACGAAAAAAAAAAUUAGUGUUUGAAGUUUGCUCUUAAGCAGAGCGCCUCGCAGAUAAAGCCCUCGGCCAGGACCCGCUGGUGCUCAGGAUGAAGCUCUCUGGUGACAGUCCGUGGAGCGUGAAGGUCUUCCUCCUGCUGGUUCUCCUGCACCUCAGUGGCGCCCUCGCUUACUCCUACUGGGGACAGCACCGAGGAGGGAUGAAACACUCCGGGCGGAGGAACCUUGGGAGACACAGACGGAAGGAUGCUCACUUGGCUGCUGCUGAGGUUCCUUACUUCGACCCGACUUCUCCCACCCAAAUCAAGGCUCAACUGGGCUCCAACGCUUAUCUGCCCUGUAAGAUAAAGAACCUUGGAAAUAA